RNAcentral lists this transfer-messenger RNA (381 nucleotides) under Hyphomicrobium facile. RNAcentral describes it as "Alphaproteobacteria transfer-messenger RNA". It matches the Rfam family "Alphaproteobacteria transfer-messenger RNA". From Rfam's summary of the family: Bacterial tmRNA, also known as 10Sa RNA or SsrA, is named for its dual tRNA and mRNA-like properties. Its role is to liberate the mRNA from a stalled ribosome. Lineage: Bacteria; Pseudomonadati; Pseudomonadota; Alphaproteobacteria; Hyphomicrobiales; Hyphomicrobiaceae. The record is from Rfam by way of RNAcentral.
ACGCUUUUUUUCGAAAGCAUUGCACCCUAUAUUCGUCGUGCUGGCUUCGGCCAGCUAUGGCGAUAAACGCGGUCGUAAUAAGCCGAUCGGACCCGGGGGCGGUACCCGGCGCCUCCACCACAUGCCACCUUUCACUGCUCGUCGAGCGGGCUGAGGCGGCAUCUGAUGGGGGCGAAAUAGGAUCGACGAAGGCGUAAAGGACUUAGCUUUUGCCCGGCAUGAUACCACCGUUAUCGGGUCUUACAGAAUAGUUGCCAAUGACAACUAUGCUGAGGCCGCUCUCGCUGCGUAAUGCAGUGCGAAUAGCCUGAACUUGAAGCCCUUAUCCGUAGCAGGAUAAGGCGCGGUCCGGAGGGCACCGGGCAACAGAAGCCCUCCACU